RNAcentral lists this ribosomal RNA (1436 nucleotides) under uncultured organism. Its description in RNAcentral is "SSU rRNA". It matches the Rfam family "Bacterial small subunit ribosomal RNA". The record is from RNAcentral.
CGCUAGCUACAGGCUUAACACAUGCAAGUCGAGGGGCAUCAGGAAGAAAGCUUGCUUUCUUUGCUGGCGACCGGCGCACGGGUGAGUAACACGUAUCCAACCUGCCCUUUACUCGGGGAUAGCCUUUCGAAAGAAAGAUUAAUACCCGAUGGCAUAAUGAUUCCGCAUGGUUUCAUUAUUAAAGGAUUCCGGUAAAGGAUGGGGAUGCGUUCCAUUAGGUUGUUGGUGAGGUAACGGCUCACCAAGCCUUCGAUGGAUAGGGGUUCUGAGAGGAAGGUCCCCCACAUUGGAACUGAGACACGGUCCAAACUCCUACGGGAGGCAGCAGUGAGGAAUAUUGGUCAAUGGGCGCUAGCCUGAACCAGCCAAGUAGCGUGAAGGAUGAAGGCUCUAUGGGUCGUAAACUUCUUUUAUAUAAGAAUAAAGUGCAGUAUGUAUACUGUUUUGUAUGUAUUAUAUGAAUAAGGAUCGGCUAACUCCGUGCCAGCAGCCGCGGUAAUACGGAGGAUCCGAGCGUUAUCCGGAUUUAUUGGGUUUAAAGGGAGCGUAGGUGGACUGGUAAGUCAGUUGUGAAAGUUUGCGGCUCAACCGUAAAAUUGCAGUUGAUACUGUCAGUCUUGAGUACAGUAGAGGUGGGCGGAAUUCGUGGUGUAGCGGUGAAAUGCUUAGAUAUCACGAAGAACUCCGAUUGCGAAGGCAGCUCACUGGACUGCAACUGACACUGAUGCUCGAAAGUGUGGGUAUCAAACAGGAUUAGAUACCCUGGUAGUCCACACAGUAAACGAUGAAUACUCGCUGUUUGCGAUAUACAGUAAGCGGCCAAGCGAAAGCAUUAAGUAUUCCACCUGGGGAGUACGCCGGCAACGGUGAAACUCAAAGGAAUUGACGGGGGCCCGCACAAGCGGAGGAACAUGUGGUUUAAUUCGAUGAUACGCGAGGAACCUUACCCGGGCUUAAAUUGCAGUGGAAUGAUGUGGAAACAUGUCAGUGAGCAAUCACCGCUGUGAAGGUGCUGCAUGGUUGUCGUCAGCUCGUGCCGUGAGGUGUCGGCUUAAGUGCCAUAACGAGCGCAACCCUUAUCUUUAGUUACUAACAGGUUAUGCUGAGGACUCUAGAGAGACUGCCGUCGUAAGAUGUGAGGAAGGUGGGGAUGACGUCAAAUCAGCACGGCCCUUACGUCCGGGGCUACACACGUGUUACAAUGGGGGGUACAGAAGGCAGCUAGCGGGUGACCGUAUGCUAAUCCCAAAAGCCUCUCUCAGUUCGGAUCGAAGUCUGCAACCCGACUUCGUGAAGCUGGAUUCGCUAGUAAUCGCGCAUCAGCCACGGCGCGGUGAAUACGUUCCCGGGCCUUGUACACACCGCCCGUCAAGCCAUGGGAGCCGGGGGUACCUGAAGUACGUAACCGCAAGGAUCGUCCUAGGGUAAAACUGGAA